CGUUGUUGUUAAAUCUCACAUGCUCUUUUCUCUCUCCCCUCUUUUGUUCCAAAGAAAAAAAGAGGGGAGAGAGAAAAGAGCAUGUGGGAUGGGCA
RNAcentral lists this microRNA precursor (95 nucleotides) under Trypanosoma congolense IL3000. Lineage: Eukaryota; Euglenozoa; Kinetoplastea; Trypanosomatida; Trypanosomatidae. The record is from RNAcentral.